UUUCCGUAGGUGCACCUGCGGAAGGAUCAUUACAGAGUUCAUGCCCUCACGGGUAGAUCUCCCACCCUUGAAUAUUUAUACCUUAGUUGCUUUGGCAGGCCGUGGAAACACCAUGGGCUCCGGCUUAUGCGUGCCUGCCAGAGGAAACAAACUCUGUUUUUAGUGAUGUCUGAGUACUAUAUAAUAGUUAAAACUUUCAACAACGGAUCUCUUGGUUCUG
This 220-nucleotide unclassified non-coding RNA is filed under the name plant metagenome. Its description in RNAcentral is "partial contains small subunit ribosomal RNA, internal transcribed spacer 1, and 5.8S ribosomal RNA". The record is from RNAcentral.